GACGAACGCUGGCGGCGUGCUUAACACAUGCAAGUCGAACGGAAAGGCCCUGCUUUUGUGGGGUGCUCGAGUGGAGAACGGGUGAGGAACACGUGAGUAACCUGCAAUUGACUUUGGGAUAAGUUCAGGAAACUGGGGGUAAUACCGGAUAGGAGCUCCUGCUGCAUGGUGGGGGUUGGACAGUUUCGGCGGUUGGUGAUGGACUCGCGGCUUAUCAGCUUGUUGGUGGGGUAGUGGCUUACCAAGGCUUUGACGGGUAGCCGGCCUGAGAUGGGUACCUGCCACAUUGGAACUGGGAUGAGACCCAGACUCCUACGGGAGGCAGCAGUGGGGAAUAUUGCACAAUGGGCGGAAGCCUGAUGCAGCCACGCCGCGUGCGGGAUGACGGCCUUCGGGUUGUAAACCGCUUUCGCCUGUGACGAAGCGUGAGUGACGGUAAUGGGUAAAGAAGCACCGGCUAACUACGUG
This 468-nucleotide ribosomal RNA is filed under the name uncultured bacterium. Its description in RNAcentral is "partial 16S ribosomal RNA". It matches the Rfam family "Bacterial small subunit ribosomal RNA", at positions 28 to 507 of the family's 1533-position model. The record is from RNAcentral.